GAUUCUAAAACCGGUUUCGGUUUUUAUAUACCCCAUAAAAACAUAAGGAAACAAACAAAAAUUGAAAGAAAGGAAGAACGCUCCUCAAAAUUUCCUAAAUUCCACAAGAAUUAGGGUUUCAAUCAUCGAACGAUUUUCUUACAGAUUAUAAUAAUGUGUAGAUUGGUUGCUGGUGAAGAUGAUUCAGGCGGUGAACUGGAUCAUCAUCAAAGCAUGGUAAAUGAAACCGACCGCAUGGAUCCACAAAUCCGAGCCCAAAUUGCACGUUUGGAAGCAAGGAUAAGCAGGGUUGAAGCCCGGAUGGAAAAGCUAGAGGUCAGCGUUCAAUAUCUGCAAAGGCGAAUGUAUGUCUAUGGUUUUGUCUGUUUGAUGUCUGUUUUGUAUGCCAUAUUCAAAUAGAUUUUAAGGUGAUUAAACGAUUACCACAACGCAUGUUUCUAGUAUAUUGUACAAAGGUAGCGGUACUACUUUAAUGUUAGACCAAAAAACGAUCAAGAUCGGCAGAUUAUCAGUUAUAUCUAAAAAAACUUGCCUUUUAUU
Helianthus annuus (common sunflower) is the source of this 540-nucleotide long non-coding RNA. RefSeq lists it as uncharacterized. The record is from RefSeq and is a predicted model, not a curated record. NCBI's taxonomy places the organism in Eukaryota, Viridiplantae, Streptophyta, Magnoliopsida, Asterales, Asteraceae. The transcript has 2 exons.